UUCUUCAUCUGGAAUGCCAAUGGAAGAGGUUUAUGGAGCAUGAUUUUUAUCUUCGAAAGAAGUGGAUGCAUCCACCUUCUGCAAAUUUUCUUUAUGAAUGAUGGAAGACUCCCGUCGAUCAUCAUUCAUCUCGAUGUCCUCACCACAAGAAAAAAGAUCAAGAUUAGAGGAUAUUUGAUCUUGGGCCAAGGUAAGAUCAGGAGG
RNAcentral lists this long non-coding RNA (204 nucleotides) under Elaeis guineensis (African oil palm). RNAcentral's name for it is "long non-coding RNA (EGUI_LNC045308)". The record is from RNAcentral. Lineage: Eukaryota; Viridiplantae; Streptophyta; Magnoliopsida; Arecales; Arecaceae.